UACGUAGGGUCCGAGCGUUGUCCGGAAUUACUGGGCGUAAAGAGCUUGUAGGCGGUUUGUCGCGUCGUUCGUGAAAACUUGGGGCUUAACUCCAAGCGUGCGGGCGAUACGGGCAGACUUGAGUACUACAGGGGAGACUGGAAUUCCUGGUGUAGCGGUGAAAUGCGCAGAUAUCAGGAGGAACACCGGUGGCGAAGGCGGGUCCCUGGACAACUCCUGACGCUGAGGCACGAAAGCUAGGGGAGCAAACAGG
RNAcentral lists this ribosomal RNA (253 nucleotides) under uncultured bacterium. RNAcentral describes it as "partial 16S ribosomal RNA". It matches the Rfam family "Bacterial small subunit ribosomal RNA", at positions 524 to 776 of the family's 1533-position model. The record is from RNAcentral.